This 1252-nucleotide ribosomal RNA is filed under the name Ligilactobacillus salivarius. RNAcentral describes it as "bacterial LSU rRNA". It matches the Rfam family "Bacterial large subunit ribosomal RNA", at positions 1 to 1249 of the family's 2925-position model. The record is from RNAcentral. Lineage: Bacteria; Bacillati; Bacillota; Bacilli; Lactobacillales; Lactobacillaceae.
UUAGGUUAAGUUAUUAAGGGCGUAUGGUGGAUGCCUUGGCACUAGGAGCCGAUGAAGGACGUGACUAACUGCGAUAUGCUUCGGGGAGUUGUAAGUAAACUAUGAUCCGGAGAUUUCCGAAUGGGGAAACCUAACAGGUUUUACCGCCUGUUAUCACUAAGUGAAUUCAUAGCUUAGUUGAAGGUAGACGUGGGGAACUGAAACAUCUAAGUACCCACAGGAAGAGAAAGAAAUUCGAUUCCCUCAGUAGCGGCGAGCGAACCGGGAAGAGCCCAAACUAAGAAGCUUGCUUCUUAGGGUUGUAGGACUGAACAUUUGAGUUGCCAAGAAAUGAAGUAGUUGAAUAAUCUGGGAAGAUUAGCCAAAGAGAGUGAUAGCCUCGUAAACGAAACUUCGUUUCCUCAGUUCAGGAUCCUGAGUACGGCGGAACACGUGAAACUCCGUCGGAAUCCGGGAGGACCAUCUCCCAAGGCUAAAUACUACCUAGUGACCGAUAGUGAACCAGUACCGUGAGGGAAAGGUGAAAAGCACCCCGGGAGGGGAGUGAAAUAGUUCCUGAAACCAUAUGCCUACAAGUAGUCAGAGCUCGUUAAUGAGUGAUGGCGUGCCUUUUGUAGAAUGAACCGGCGAGUUACGUUAGCGUGCGAGGUUAAGGAGGAAAGUCCGGAGCCGUAGCGAAAGCGAGUCUGAAUAGGGCGAGAUAGUACGUUGACGUAGACCCGAAACCAGGUGACCUACCCAUGUCCAGGUUGAAGGUGCGGUAAAACGCACUGGAGGACCGAACCCGUGUAUGUUGAAAAAUGCUGGGAUGAGGUGUGGGUAGAGGUGAAAUUCCAAACGAACUUGGAGAUAGCUGGUUCUCUCCGAAAUAGCUUUAGGGCUAGCCUCGGAGUUGAGAAUCGUGGAGGUAGAGCACUGUUUGGACUAGGGGCCCGUCUUGGGUUACUGAAUUCAGAUAAACUCCGAAUGCCACAGAUUUAUAUCCGGGAGUCAGACUGCGAGUGAUAAGAUCCGUAGUCGAAAGGGAAACAGCCCAGACCACCGAUUAAGGUCCCAAAAUAUGUGUUAAGUGGAAAAGGAUGUGGAAUUGCAUAGACAACUAGGAUGUUGGCUUAGAAGCAGCCACCAUUUAAAGAGUGCGUAAUAGCUCACUAGUCGAGUGAUCCUGCGCCGAAAAUGUAACGGGGCUAAACACAUUACCGAAAUCGUGGAUGUACCGUAAGGUACAUGGUAGGAGAGCGUUCUAAGGACG